AAAUUGAAGAGUUUGAUCAUGGCUCAGAUUGAACGCUGGCGGCAGGCCUAACACAUGCAAGUCGAACGGUAACAGGAAGCAGCUUGCUGCUUCGCUGACGAGUGGCGGACGGGUGAGUAAUGUCUGGGAAACUGCCUGAUGGAGGGGGAUAACUACUGGAAACGGUGGAUAAUACCGCAUAACGUCGCAGGACCAAAGAGGGGGACCUUCGGGCCUCUUGCCAUCAGAUGUGCCCAGAUGGGAUUAGCUUGUUGGUGAGGUAACGGCUCACCAAGGCGACGAUCCCUAGCUGGUCUGAGAGGAUGACCAGCCACACUGGAACUGAGACACGGUCCAGACUCCUACGGGAGGCAGCAGUGGGGAAUAUUGCACAAUGGGCGCAAGCCUGAUGCAGCCAUGCCGCGUGUAUGAAGAAGGCCUUCGGGUUGUAAAGUACUUUCAGCGGGGAGGAAGGUGUUAUGGUUAAUAACCGCAGCAAUUGACGUUACCCGCAGAAGAAGCACCGGCUAACUCCGUGC
RNAcentral lists this ribosomal RNA (518 nucleotides) under Salmonella enterica. Its description in RNAcentral is "bacterial SSU rRNA". It matches the Rfam family "Bacterial small subunit ribosomal RNA", at positions 1 to 508 of the family's 1533-position model. The record is from RNAcentral. Lineage: Bacteria; Pseudomonadati; Pseudomonadota; Gammaproteobacteria; Enterobacterales; Enterobacteriaceae.